UUCAUGACUGGGUUAAAGUCGUAACAAGUUACCCGUAGGGGAACCUGUGCCUGGAUCACCUCCUU
RNAcentral lists this ribosomal RNA (65 nucleotides) under uncultured bacterium. RNAcentral's name for it is "partial 16S ribosomal RNA". The record is from RNAcentral.